GUCCUUUAAGUCUGAUGUGAAAGCCCACGGCUCAACCGUGAGGGUCAUUGGAAACUGGGGGACUUGAGUGCAGAAGAGGAAAGUGGAAUUCCACGUGUAGCGGUGAAAUGCGUAGAGAUGUGGAGGAACACCAGUGGCGAAGGCGACGUUUCUGGUCUGUAACUGACGCUGAGGCGCGAAAGCGUGGGGAGCAAACAGGAUUAGAUACCCUGGUAGUCCACGCCGUAAACGAUGAGUGCUAAGUGUUAGGGGGUUUCCGCCCCUUAGUGCUGCAGCUAACGCAUUAAGCACUCCGCCUGGGGAGUACGGCCGCAAGGCUGAAACUCAAAGGAAUUGACGGGUGGUCGACGCGGCCG
This 356-nucleotide ribosomal RNA is filed under the name uncultured Planococcus sp. Its description in RNAcentral is "bacterial SSU rRNA". It matches the Rfam family "Bacterial small subunit ribosomal RNA", at positions 578 to 935 of the family's 1533-position model. Lineage: Bacteria; Bacillati; Bacillota; Bacilli; Caryophanales; Caryophanaceae. The record is from RNAcentral.